GAUGAAGAACGUAGCGAAAUGCGAUAAGUAGUGUGAAUUGCAGAUUUUAGUGAAUCAUCGAAUCUUUGAACGCACAUUGCGCCCCCUGGUAUUCCGGGGGGCAUGCCUGUCCGAGCGUCAUUACAACCCUCAAGCUCAGCUUGGUGUUGGGCCCCGCCGCCCCGGCGGGCCCUAAAGUCAGUGGCGGUGCCGUCCGGCUCCGAGCGUAGUAAUUCUUCUCGCUCUGGAGGUCCGGUCGUGUGCUCGCCAGCAACCCCCAAUUUUUUUCAGGUUGACCUCGGAUCAGGUAGGGAUACCCGCUGAACUUAAGCAUAUCAAUAAGCGGAGGA
This 329-nucleotide unclassified non-coding RNA is filed under the name soil metagenome. RNAcentral describes it as "partial contains 5.8S ribosomal RNA, internal transcribed spacer 2, and large subunit ribosomal RNA". The stretch from base 1 to 120 matches the Rfam family "5.8S ribosomal RNA", at positions 35 to 154 of the family's 154-position model. The record is from RNAcentral.